This 450-nucleotide ribosomal RNA is filed under the name uncultured bacterium. RNAcentral describes it as "partial 16S ribosomal RNA". It matches the Rfam family "Bacterial small subunit ribosomal RNA", at positions 354 to 796 of the family's 1533-position model. The record is from RNAcentral.
GUAGGGAAUCUUCCACAAUGGACGCAAGUCUGAUGGAGCAACGCCGCGUGAGUGAAGAAGGUUUUCGGAUCGUAAAGCUCUGUUGUUGGUGAAGAAGGAUAGAGGCAGUAACUGGUCUUUAUUUGACGGUAAUCAACCAGAAAGUCACGGCUAACUACGUGCCAGCAGCCGCGGUAAUACGUAGGUGGCAAGCGUUGUCCGGAUUUAUUGGGCGUAAAGCGAGCGCAGGCGGAAUGAUAAGUCUGAUGUGAAAGCCCACGGCUCAACCGUGGAACUGCAUCGGAAACUGUCAUUCUUGAGUGCAGAAGAGGAGAGUGGAACUCCAUGUGUAGCGGUGGAAUGCGUAGAUAUAUGGAAGAACACCAGUGGCGAAGGCGGCUCUCUGGUCUGCAACUGACGCUGAGGCUCGAAAGCAUGGGUAGCGAACAGGAUUAGAUACCCCUGUAGUCC